AUCGAACGCUGGCGGCAUGCCUAACACAUGCAAGUCGAACGAGUGGCGGACGGGUGAGUAAUGUCUGGGAAACUGCCUGAUGGAGGGGGAUAACUACUGGAAACGGUAGCUAAUACCGCAUACCAUCAGAUGUGCCCAGAUGGGAUUAGCUAGUGGGUGGGGUAACGGCGCACCAGGGAGACGAUCCCUAGCUGGUCUGAGAGGAUGACCAGCCACACUGGAACUGAGACACGGUCCAGAAUCCUACGGGAGGCAGCAGUGGGGAAUCUUGCACAAUGGGCGCAAGCCUGAUGCAGCCAUGCCGCGUGUAUGAAGAAGGCCUUCGGGUUGUAAAGUUCUGUCAUCGGGGAAGCGUUACCCGCAGAAGAAGCAACGGCUAACUCCGUGCCAGCAGCCGCGGUAAUUC
RNAcentral lists this ribosomal RNA (406 nucleotides) under uncultured bacterium. RNAcentral's name for it is "partial 16S ribosomal RNA". It matches the Rfam family "Bacterial small subunit ribosomal RNA", at positions 30 to 526 of the family's 1533-position model. The record is from RNAcentral.